GAACUGAAGAGUUUGAUCCUGGCUCAGAUUGAACGCUGGCGGCAUGCCUUACACAUGCAAGUCGAACGCGAAAGUGGGGGCAACCCUGCGAGUAGAGUGGCGAACGGGUGAGUAACACAUCGGAACGUACCCAGGAGUGGGGGACAACCUCGAGAAAUCGAGGCUAAUACCGCAUACGUCCUGAGGGAGAAAGCGGGGGAUUCGCAAGGACCUCGCGCUCGUGGAGCGGCCGAUGUCGGAUUAGCUAGUUGGCGGGGUAAGAGCCCACCAAGGCUACGAUCCGUAGCUGGUUUGAGAGAACGACCAGCCACACUGGGACUGAGACACGGCCCAGACUCCUACGGGAGGCAGCAGUGGGGAAUUUUGGACAAUGGGGGCAACCCUGAUCCAGCCAUGCCGCGUGAGUGAAGAAGGCCUUCGGGUUGUAAAGCUCUUUCGGCCGGAACGAAAUCGCGUACGUGAAUAACGUGCGUGGAUGACGGUACUGGAAGAAGAAGCACCGGCUAACUACGUGCCAGCAGCCGCGGUAAUACGUAGGGUGCGAGCGUUAAUCGGAAUUACUGGGCGUAAAGCGUGCGUAGGCGGUUUUGUAAGUCAGAUGUGAAAUCCCCGG
This 613-nucleotide ribosomal RNA is filed under the name Gallionella sp. RNAcentral describes it as "bacterial SSU rRNA". It matches the Rfam family "Bacterial small subunit ribosomal RNA", at positions 1 to 606 of the family's 1533-position model. The record is from RNAcentral. Lineage: Bacteria; Pseudomonadati; Pseudomonadota; Betaproteobacteria; Nitrosomonadales; Gallionellaceae.